AGUGAACGCUGGCGGUAGGCCUAACACAUGCAAGUCGAACGGCAGCACAGUAAGAUCUUUCUCUUACGGUUGGCGACUGGCGGACGGGUGACGCAUACAUCGGCAUCUUCUUUUUCUUGGGUGAUUUCGUAGGGAAACUUACGCUAAUACCUCAUACGUCCUACGGCUUAAAUCAGUGGUUCUUCCGACUUUUCGCGUUUCUUUGAGCCGAUUUCGGGUUGCCUUGUUUGCUGGGUAAGGGCCCACCAAGGCGACGAUCCGUAGCUUGUCUGAGAGGAUGGUGAGCAACACUGGAACUGAGACACGGUCCAGACUCCUACGGGAGGCAGAGGUGGGAAAUAUUGGACAAUGGGCGAAAGCCUGAUCAAGAAAUACCGCGUGGGUGAAGAAGGCCUUCGGGUUGUAAAGCCCUUUUGUUGGGAAAGAAAAGCAGCAGGUUAAUACCGCGCUGUUCUGACGGUACCAAAAGAAUAAGCACCGGCUAACUUGGU
RNAcentral lists this ribosomal RNA (491 nucleotides) under uncultured bacterium. Its description in RNAcentral is "partial 16S ribosomal RNA". It matches the Rfam family "Bacterial small subunit ribosomal RNA", at positions 29 to 506 of the family's 1533-position model. The record is from RNAcentral.